GCAGCCGCCACGGUAAUACAGAGGGUGCGAGCGUUAAUCGGAUUUACUGGGCGUAAAGCGUGCGUAGGCGGCUUUUUAAGUCGGAUGUGAAAUCCCUGAGCUUAACUUAGGAAUUGCAUUCGAUACUGGGAAGCUAGAGUAUGGGAGAGGAUGGUAGAAUUCCAGGUGUAGCGGUGAAAUGCGUAGAGAUCUGGAGGAAUACCGAUGGCGAAGGCAGCCAUCUGGCCUAAUACUGACGCUGAGGUACGAAAGCAUGGGGAGCAAACAGGAUUAGAUACCCGAGUAGUCCCUGUCUCUUAUAA
This 302-nucleotide ribosomal RNA is filed under the name uncultured bacterium. RNAcentral's name for it is "partial 16S ribosomal RNA". It matches the Rfam family "Bacterial small subunit ribosomal RNA", at positions 508 to 809 of the family's 1533-position model. The record is from RNAcentral.